UACGUAGGGGGCAAGCGUUAUCCGGAUUUACUGGGUGUAAAGGGAGCGUAGACGGUGUGGCAAGUCUGAUGUGAAAGGCAUGGGCUCAACCUGUGGACUGCAUUGGAAACUGUCAUACUUGAGUGCCGGAGGGGUAAGCGGAAUUCCUAGUGUAGCGGUGAAAUGCGUAGAUAUUAGGAGGAACACCAGUGGCGAAGGCGGCUUACUGGACGGUAACUGACGUUGAGGCUCGAAAGCGUGGGGAGCAAACAGGAUUAGAAACCCGACGGCUGACUGACU
RNAcentral lists this ribosomal RNA (279 nucleotides) under Blautia wexlerae DSM 19850. RNAcentral's name for it is "partial 16S ribosomal RNA". It matches the Rfam family "Bacterial small subunit ribosomal RNA", at positions 524 to 803 of the family's 1533-position model. Lineage: Bacteria; Bacillati; Bacillota; Clostridia; Lachnospirales; Lachnospiraceae. The record is from RNAcentral.